CUCCUACCAGACGAUAGCUCCAUACAUCAUUUUACUAGAAGAGCCUGAUGCCUACAGAAUUAUAACAACAACAGACACUUUUAUGGAAUUUACAGAAAAUCAGUGGACAACCUUUUCCAUUGUACAUGAUUUUCCAGCCAGGAAAGGAUGGACUAGAUUAUCUGGCAAGGAACAAGUGAUCCCCAGCAACUGCAAGGCAUCCCCUGACCUAAAUCAAAGGAUCACCCAGCACCUGCCACUCAUGAGGUUCCUGCCCGCAAAGGAAUCAUAAAAAAAGAAAU
RNAcentral lists this long non-coding RNA (281 nucleotides) under Chinchilla lanigera (long-tailed chinchilla). RNAcentral's name for it is "lncRNA (ENSCLAG00000025534.1)". The record is from RNAcentral. Lineage: Eukaryota; Metazoa; Chordata; Mammalia; Rodentia; Chinchillidae.